Molecule: non-coding RNA, 762 nt
Organism: Python bivittatus (Burmese python)
Lineage: Eukaryota; Metazoa; Chordata; Lepidosauria; Squamata; Pythonidae
Source: RefSeq, a predicted model, not a curated record
UGGUGGAACCCGGAAGUGCCCCAGCGGGCGUGGGGAGGUAGCCUCUUUGACCCUCGGCGGCGCCUUUCUGUUGGGCUGACCCUGAACAUGGGGGGCUCGGCGGCGGGUGGCUGGGAGCUCCGCGGGGUGUGAGUCAGCGGGGAGGAGCGGCUCUCGGCCGUGGAGGCCUAAUGAGAAAACGGACUCCCGGGGCAGAAGAAGAGCCGGAGGCUGCUCGGGCAGGGGUUUACUAAUGAGGCAGAUGUGAAGAGGCAAAGCAGGAGCACGCAUCUGGACGCGUGUCAGGGCUCGAAGGCUAGCGGAGGGGGUUCAAAGGGAAGGAGGGAGGGGACCUCCAGCCCCAGAGGUACGAAGCUGGUGUCUCUUGUACCUGCUGGGGGGCGACGCCGAAUUUCGGGGUUCACGUGGAAGCUAGUCCUGAAAGGCUCUUGUCAAUAAAGGCACAAUGCUGGAAUCCUAUGUAACUCCUAUUCUAAUGAGUUAUGUGAAUCGUUAUAUAAAGAAUUUGAAGCCCUCUGAUUUACAGUUGUCACUCUGGGGAGGAGAUGUAGUUCUCAGCAAACUUGAACUAAAACUUGAUGUACUUGAACAGGAGCUGAAAUUGCCGUUUACUUUUUUAAGUGGACACAUUCAUGAGUUGCGCAUUCAUGUACCAUGGACAAAGCUUGGUUCGGAACCAGUAGUGAUUACAAUCAAUACAAUGGAGUGCAUCUUGAAGCUAAAGGAUGGACUCCAGGUAAAAACUGCAAGCCUAAAUAAGAC